UACGGAGGGGGCUAGCGUUGUUCGGAAUUACUGGGCGUAAAGCGCAUGUAGGCGGCUUAGCAAGUCGGAUGUGAAAUCCCUCGGCUCAACCAAGGAAGUGCAUCCGAAACUGCUGAGCUUGAGUACUUAAGAGGAGCGCGGAAUUCCCGGUGUAGAGGUGAAAUUCGUAGAUAUCGGGAGGAACACCAGUGGCGAAGGCGGCGAUCUGGGAAGAUACUGACGCUGAGGUGCGAAAGCGUGGGGAGCAAACAGG
Molecule: ribosomal RNA, 253 nt
Filed under: uncultured bacterium
Lineage: Bacteria
Description: partial 16S ribosomal RNA
Rfam family: Bacterial small subunit ribosomal RNA
Source: RNAcentral